Molecule: ribosomal RNA, 466 nt
Filed under: uncultured bacterium
Lineage: Bacteria
Description: partial 16S ribosomal RNA
Rfam family: Bacterial small subunit ribosomal RNA
Source: RNAcentral
GAUGAACGCUGGCGGCGUGCUUAACACAUGCAAGUCGAACGAUGAAGCCCAGCUUGCUGGGUGGUUUAGUGGCGAACGGGUGAGUAACACGUGAGUAACCUGCCCUUAACUCUGGGAUAAGUCUGGGAAACUGGGUCUAAUACCGGACAGGAGCGUCCACGGCCUGGUUGGUGCUGGAGAGAUUUACCGGUUUUAGAUCGACUCGCGGCUUAUCAGCUCGUUGGUGAGGUAAUGGCUCACUAAGGCGACGACGGGUAGCCGGCCUGAGAGGGUGACCGGCCACAAUGGGACUGAGACACGGACCAGAAUCCUACGGGAGGCAGCAGUGGGGAAUAUUGCACAAUGGGCGCAAGCCUGAUGCAGCGACGCCGCGUGAGGGAUGACGGCCUUCGGGUUGUAAACCUCUUUCAGUAGGGAAGAAGCGAAAGUGACGGUACCUGCAGAAGAAGCACCGGCUAACUACGUG